GGUGGUUUUCUGCCUCUUUCUCACUCAGCAAACAGGAGGCUCGGGCUCAGCAUGCACCGCAGCUCUCUCGUCCUCACUGCCUUCCUGGGACAACUGCUGGAUGCCGUGGGGCAGACCAUUGUCAGCCAGCAAGAAGGACAGGUCACAGUGGAGGAGAGAAACACCUUCCAGACCACCUGCACAUACCAGGCAGCUGGGUUUUAUGGCUUGUUUUGGUACCAGCAGAAGAAAGGCCAAGCUCCCCAGCUGGUCUCACAUCAGGCAGCUGCAGGCUCCAAGCAGAACGGCCGUUUCACCACGUGGCUGAACACCACCGAGAAAUACAGCCUCCUGCGGCUGGCAGAAGUCGAGCUGUCUGACAGCGCCUUG
Non-coding RNA from Meleagris gallopavo (turkey), 369 nucleotides. Lineage: Eukaryota; Metazoa; Chordata; Aves; Galliformes; Phasianidae. The record is from the annotation of a RefSeq genome assembly.